UGUUUUACUGGUUAACAUGGUAGUUUGACUUUUGAGGUCAGUCAUCCACGUUAAGCGAUGAUUACCUCUAUAAUUGGAAGCAUCACAUGAACCAAACCAUCACUCUUGGCAACUGAUACAUUCUCUUUUCUUGUUCAUUUCCUAUGUUAUGUGUGAUAUGUUGAAAUUUGACCACUGAAUGUGCAGGUGCUUUUGUUGGUUGUUCCCUUGAAGGGAGCAUCGUCAGUACUCGCACAUAUGAGAAUUCUCGAUUUUAUGGUAGCCAGUCUGUGACUGCAUCGGACAUACUUCUUGCGAAAAUGCCUAGGCCUCCUGCUGCAGCCAUUCUGUAUCGCGCUCUGGCUGAUCUAUAUAAGAAGCAUGAAAGGUGAUGCAGUUUGUUGUAGAUAAAAUUAUUUGCAUAAACAAUCAAUAAAAAUGUGGAUGAAAUGAUUGAUCAACAUUUUAUUGAUCGAUCAGUUACACAUUGUUGCCAUUCUUUGUCAAUGUAAAUAAUAAGUGUGGUGUAAAUUGUUCAUGUGUAAAUUGCGAUGUAUAUAAUGAUUGAUAAUAUCAAAACUCUAUGCUGUCUCCGCGAUGUCUGAAAUUCUUACAUUGUUCAUAGGCCAAACUUGUACAAAAGAAAGCCAAAUUCAUUUCGGUUGCUUGUUUUUCUGGCAAUAGAGAUCCUACAGCAAGUGCCACCUUUUGCGUGUUAGGGAAUGCAAGAAAUUUCAAAGACAUCUAUAUGAAAACAGUAAUUUCAGGUUUUUCUUUUUAAAUAAGUGAUUAUCAUGGGAAUAUAUGAUAAGGUUGUAAUGUCUCGGGUUUUUUUUUUUUUUUUUUUUCUUUCUCUUUUCACUUCUAAUAGCGUAAUUAAAACAACCAAUUCCAUAAUCAAAUUAGUCAUGUACAUAAAAUUGGAUUGCUUGUUUUUCUGGCAAUAGAGAUCCUACAGCAAGUGCCACCUUUUGCGUGUUAGGGAAUGCAAGAAAUUUCA
Molecule: long non-coding RNA, 979 nt
Filed under: Carica papaya (papaya)
Lineage: Eukaryota; Viridiplantae; Streptophyta; Magnoliopsida; Brassicales; Caricaceae
Description: long non-coding RNA (CPAP_LNC000219)
Source: RNAcentral